GAGCUCACUUCAGCAGCCCAUGUACUAAAAUUGGACCCACAGGGAGGUUAGCGUGGCCCCUGCGCGAGGGUGGUGUGCCAACUCAUGAAGCGCUCCAUGAUGUU
RNAcentral lists this small nuclear RNA (104 nucleotides) under Octodon degus (degu). The record is from RNAcentral. Lineage: Eukaryota; Metazoa; Chordata; Mammalia; Rodentia; Octodontidae.